Molecule: ribosomal RNA, 460 nt
Filed under: uncultured bacterium
Lineage: Bacteria
Description: partial 16S ribosomal RNA
Rfam family: Bacterial small subunit ribosomal RNA
Source: RNAcentral
CCUACGGGAGGCAGCAGUGAGGAAUAUUGGUCAAUGGACGCAAGUCUGAACCAGCCAUGCCGCGUGCAGGAAGACGGCCCUAUGAGUUGUAAACUGCUUUUGUACGAGGGUAAACGCAGAUACGCGAAUCUUUCUGAUAGUAUCGUACGAAUAAAGAUCGGCUAACUCCGUGCCAGCAGCCGCGGUAAUACGGAGGAUUCAAGCGUUAUCCGGAUUUAUUGGGUUGAAAGGGUGCGUAGGCGGUCGGAUAAGUUAGAGGUGAAAGCCCGAGGCUCAACAUAGGAAUUGCAUUGGAUACUGGUAGGCUAGAGAGUAGUUGCGGUGGGCGGAAUGUAAUGUGUAGCGGUGAAAUGCUUAGAGAUCAUAAAGAACACCGAUUGCGAAGGCAGCUCACCAAGCUACUUCUGACGUUGAGGCACGAAAGCGUGGGGAGCAAACAGGAUUAGAUACCCGAGUAGUC